CAGAGGGUGCGAGCGUUGUCCGGAAUCACUGGGCGUAAAGGGCGCGUAGGCGGCUUCUCACGCGUGCGGUGAAAGCUCGGGGCUUAACUCCGAGUCUGCCGUGCGAACGGGGAGGCUUGAGCCUGGUAGAGGUCGAUGGAAUUCCGGGUGUAGCGGUGGAAUGCGUAGAGAUCCGGAAGAACACCGGUGGCGAAGGCGGUCGACUGGGCCAGUACUGACGCUGAGGCGCGACAGCGUGGGGAGCAAACAGGAUUAGAUACCCUGGUAGUCCACGCCGUAAACGAUGGGCACUAGGUCCUUGGGGGAGCGACCCCUUGAGGGCCGGCGCUAACGCAUUAAGUGCCCCGCCUGGGGAGUACGGCCGCAAGGCUG
RNAcentral lists this ribosomal RNA (372 nucleotides) under uncultured organism. RNAcentral describes it as "bacterial SSU rRNA". It matches the Rfam family "Bacterial small subunit ribosomal RNA", at positions 526 to 896 of the family's 1533-position model. The record is from RNAcentral.